RNAcentral lists this ribosomal RNA (631 nucleotides) under uncultured soil bacterium. Its description in RNAcentral is "bacterial SSU rRNA". It matches the Rfam family "Bacterial small subunit ribosomal RNA", at positions 164 to 775 of the family's 1533-position model. The record is from RNAcentral.
UAAUACCGCAUAAUGCAGCGGCUCGACAUCGAGACAGUUGUUAAAGCGGGGGAUCGCAAGACCUCGCGCCUGAAGAGAAGCCUGCGGCGGAUUAGCUUGUUGGUAGGGUAAUGGCCUACCAAGGCGACGAUCCGUAACCGGCCUGAGAGGGCGGUCGGUCACACUGACACUGACAUACGGGUCAGACUCCUACGGGAGGCAGCAGUCGGGAAUUUUGGGCAAUGGGCGAAAGCCUGACCCAGCAACGCCGCGUGAAGGAUGAAAUCCCUCGGGAUGUAAACUUCGUAAGAACAGGAAGAAUAAGUGGGGGACAAUACCCCCCAUGAUGACGGUACUGUUUGUAAGCUCCGGCUAACUCCGUGCCAGCAGCCGCGGUAAUACGGGGGGAGCAAGCGUUGUUCGGAUUUACUGGGCGUAAAGGGCGCGUAGGCGGUCGUGACAAGUCACUUGUGAAAUCUCCGGGCUUAACUCGGAAAGGUCAAGUGAUACUGUCGGACUAGAGUACAGAAGGGGCAACUGGAAUUCUCGGUGUAGCGGUGAAAUGCGUAGAUAUCGAGAGGAACACCUGCGGCGAAGGCGGGUUGCUGGGCUGAUACUGACGCUGAGGCGCGAAAGCUAGGGGAGCGAACGG